GAUGAACGCUAGCGGCAGGCCCAAUACAUGCAAGUCGAACGCUCAGUAGCAAUACUGGGAGUGGCGCACGGGUGCGUAACGCGUACACAAUCUACCUCUAAGCGGGGGACACCUCCUGGAAACGGGGAUUAAUACCGCAUAAUAUGCCGAAGUCGCAUGACUUUGGUAUUAAAGCAGCAAUGCACUUAGAGAUGAGUGUGCGUCCCAUUAGGUAGUUGGUGAGGUAACGGCUCACCAAGCCUAUGAUGGGUAGCCGGUCUGAGAGGAUGGUCGGCCACACGGGCACUGAGACACGGGCCCGACUCCUACGGGAGGCAGCAGUAAGGAAUAUUGGUCAAUGGUGGAAACACUGAACCAGCCAUGCCGCGUGGAGGAAUAAGGUCCUACGGGUUGUAAACUCCUUUUGACGAGGAAGAAAUGUUAGAUUUAUCUAAUUUUGACGGUACUCGUAGAAUAAGCACCGGCUAACUCCGUGCCAGCAGCCGCGGUAAU
RNAcentral lists this ribosomal RNA (492 nucleotides) under uncultured bacterium. RNAcentral's name for it is "bacterial SSU rRNA". It matches the Rfam family "Bacterial small subunit ribosomal RNA", at positions 28 to 524 of the family's 1533-position model. The record is from RNAcentral.